RNAcentral lists this long non-coding RNA (3037 nucleotides) under Mus musculus (house mouse). RNAcentral describes it as "long non-coding RNA chr2:158382150-158385187". Lineage: Eukaryota; Metazoa; Chordata; Mammalia; Rodentia; Muridae. The record is from RNAcentral.
UUUUUUUUUUUUUUUUUUUUUACAAUUACUGAGCUGUUGGUUAAGAUCCAGAGGAGGGAAAUAGUUAGAGCAACAGAGCUGCAGCUCUGCACAAGUGUCAGUCAGAUUCAGUCCCUUGGCUUCCUGAACAAGAAAUGAUUGAUGUUGAAAAUUGGAAAUGCAGCCAGGUGGUGGUGACGGUCUAUAGACAGGACUACCAGGCCUAAAUAAACAGGGUCAACUGGACCCCUAAGAAAGAUGAGAUAAAAUGCGUGCCGAUUAUUUUGCUAGGUGAAGUUCACGUAUUGUCCUGUGUGGCGCGCAGUCUCUCUCGGGAGGGAGGAUCAUUAAAGAAGGUUUUGUUUUCUCUGUAGGUUGCCGUGGACUCCGCUGCUGGCGCUCCGCAGAAGCCACCUGGAGGAUGACCAGCCAGGAUUGUUCAGGGCUUUCAUUGUCUUGGUCACAUUGCUUCAUUGUCUUUGUCUGUCCAACCGUCUGUCUAAUCAGCCUUAGCAAAAUAAGCUAUUUUAUCUUGUCCUUUCGAUUAAAAAAAACAACAAAAGACAGACUUCAAGCCGUUUUGGCACCCAGAGACCAAACCCCACCCAGAGUCUUUGUUUUUAUGAUUACUAAAACUUCAUGUCUUAAAUUUAUAUCUUUGUAAAACAGAAAAAAAUUUAAAUAGCAAUGUGAUCAAACUUGGAUUUUAAAAAAAAUAGGGGCAAAUUGGAACCAAGAAGGAAUAUUUCUUAUGGAUAAUACGGUGGCCAAGGACUGAAAAACAGAAGUGUAGUCGAUAGGAGUUAGAUUACUUGAAAGUUUCCACCUAAGAUUUUUUUGGUACAGCCUGAGAAUAGGUGGGAUGUAGUAAGGAAUAGAACGGUCCAGAAAGUUCUUCUUCCAUGGAAAUGUUAUUCUUCGAUACUGUUCACAUGUUUGUUUUGUUUGCAGUGUCAACCGGACAUGUUCUUUCACACUCUCGUGGGACAACCCAGUUGUUUCCCACUUCGGGAUGUUCUGUGAUGGUUCCUCAGGUACUUUGUAAUCUCCUGUUAACCUGAUAGGAGAGUCUUCUUUCUUUCUUUCUUUCUUUCUUUCUUUCUUUCUUUCUUUCUUUCUUUCUUUCUUUCUUUCUUUCUUUCUUUCUUUCCUUCCUUCCUUCCUUCCUUCCUUCUUUCCUUCUUUCCUUCUUUCCUUCUUCUUCUUCCUCUUCCUCUUCUUCCUCUUCUUCCUCUUCUUCCUCUUCCUCUUCUUCUUCUUCCUUCUCCUUCUCUUACUCCUCCUCCUUCUCCUCCUCCUCCUUCUUCUCCUUCUCCUCCUCCUUCUAUUCCUCCUUCUCCUCUUCCUCCUCCUCCUUCUCCUCCUCCUCCUCCUUCUCCUUCUUUUUAAAGAUUUAUUUGUUAUUAUGUGUAAGUACACUGUAGCUGUCUUCAGACACUCCAGGAGAGGUUAUCAGAUCUUAUUACAGAUGGUUGUGGGCCACCAUAUGGUUGCUAGGAAUUAACUCAGGACCUCUGGAAGGGCAGUCAGUGCUCUUAACUGCUGAGCCACCUCUCCAGCCCUUAUCUUUAAUUUCUAAUAACUAAUGAUAUUGCAUAUAUUUCCCCUUACCAUUCCUCUCUUGUGUGGCAAAUGUUUGUUCAAAGCCAUUGUACAAUUUUUACUGCUGGUAGUAGCUUUCUUAUUUUUGAGGGCUUUGCUUUAUUUUAGUAGUUUUUUUUUUAAUGUAGCAAGAUAACAUAAUAUCACCAUUUUAGCCAUUUACCUAAGCAAGCCUCAAACUUGCCAUGCUGGUCUUGAACUCAUAAUCUUCCUGCCCCCAGCCUAAGCGCUGGGCUAUAGGGACAUGCCAUCAUUGGCGCUGUUUUGUUUGUACAUUUGCUUUUUCUUAAAAAAGAUUUAUUUAUUUAUUUAUUAUCUGUAAGUACACUGUAGCUGUCUUCAGACACCCCAGAAAUGGACAUCAGGUCCCAUUAUAGAUGGUUGUGAGCCACCAUGUGGUUGCUGGGAUUUGAACUCCGGACCUUCAGAAGAGCAGUCAGUGCUCUUAAUCUCUGAGCCAUCUCUCCAGCCCCCAGGAGAGUCUUCUUGAACUCAAAAUUCAAAUUGCCCUAAAAUGUAAAGAUCCCAAAUCUUACAUAAAUAGCCUUAGGUUUAAAUCUUUCAAAGUUAAUGUGAAUUAAGUAGGAUUUGCUUGUGGUUUAGUUUUGUGCCUGCCCUUGGUCUGACGUAAAGGAGCAGACAAGGGAAGAAGUUAGGGGAGGCUCAAGAGCCCUGCCUUCUGUUCAAGGCUCAUGUUACACAGUAUUCCAAGUUUCUAGUGCAUAUUAGUAGUGAGAGGUUCUCGCAUCAGUGUGACAUCUACAACUGUGUCUGGGGCCUUGUCUUCUGUCUGUAGAGACCUGUGCUCGUGUACACUGCAGGCAUGUAUUAUGCCUCUCCCUAAUUAGACAGCAGGAGAAUACAGCCCCAAGCAUGGCAUAGGGUCCUGGGGGCUCCAGGAAAACACCAUUCUGUCAUAUCUUCAACUUGACUUUGUCAGAUAGCUCUUUACACAUUUCUUUCUAGGACUCCCAUUACGACUAAAAACUGAUAAAUGGACUUGCUGAUACUGGCAAAUGAUUAAAAAAUUUUUGAAGUUUAUGGAAUAUUAAUCAUGCUACUGAACUCCCUUACAGUUGACAGUAUCAAACUAUUGUAAAACAGCACAAUUCAAUACUCAAAUUACAAAUUUGAAUUCCCACAUCUUACUUUUAGCUAGGCUAACUCUAAAUUUUUUCACUUUAGAGCCGAGCAAUGGUGGCACACGCCUUUAGUCCCAGCACUUGGGAGGCAGAGACAGGCAGAUUUCUGAGUUCGAGGCCAGCCUACAACUGAGUGAGUUCCAGGACAGCCAGGGCUACACUGAGAAACCUGUCUUGAAAAAAAUUAAUUAAUUAAUUAAUUAAAAUUUUUUUUCACUUUAAAAGAGAGUGCUUUUUCUACUUCCAAAAAAAUUUUGCCCAAGGGAGACACUACCUAGAGUAUAUAUUUAAAACAAAAACAAAACCAAAAACCC